Molecule: ribosomal RNA, 465 nt
Filed under: Triticum aestivum (bread wheat)
Lineage: Eukaryota; Viridiplantae; Streptophyta; Magnoliopsida; Poales; Poaceae
Description: partial small subunit ribosomal RNA
Source: RNAcentral
AUGGAUCCCUUUCACGUCCCUGCAGCUGCAGCUGCCAUCUUCUGCUCAGCCAUGCUUCUCCUCACUCUCCUCUCUGGCACCACCACAAGCGCCCAAAAGACCACAACGCCCUCGUUAGCGUCAACGUCCUGUGAGCCGGCGGCAUGCGGUGGCCUCCGCAUCGCGUACCCAUUCUGGCUUAGCGGCACCCACCCGCCGGAGUGCGGCUACCGGGCCUUCCAGGUCACGUGUGACCGCAACGGCACGGCCUCCCUCGAGAACUCCAUCUGGGCGUACCAGAUCUUGGAGAUCUCUUACGAUGACAACACCUUCAGGGUCACCAACCACGAUCUCUCCGACGGCACCUGCGACAUCGAGCUCCAAGUGAAUGCCUCCUCCGACCUCGGCCUCGCGCCCUUCGGCAUCAGCCCCGACAACCAGGAGCUCUUUUUCCUCAACAACUGCACUGACUUGCAGGCACGGUAG